RNAcentral lists this unclassified non-coding RNA (222 nucleotides) under Neopaxillus plumbeus. RNAcentral describes it as "internal trascribed spacer 1". Lineage: Eukaryota; Fungi; Basidiomycota; Agaricomycetes; Agaricales. The record is from RNAcentral.
UAGAAUAAACCUGGUGGAUUGUUGCUGGCUCUCUCGGGAGCAUGUGCACAUCUGUCAUCUUUAUAUCUCCACCUGUGCACCUUUUGUAGACCUGGAAACAACUUGAUUCUGAGGAGACUCAGUUGUGAGGAUCUGUAGGCCUCGUUGCGAAGUCAGCUUUCCUUGAUUGUCCAGGCCUAUGUAUUUUUUUUUUUAUACACACCAAAAAUUGUAUUAGAAUGU